This 384-nucleotide ribosomal RNA is filed under the name Kocuria sp. NTY54. RNAcentral describes it as "bacterial SSU rRNA". It matches the Rfam family "Bacterial small subunit ribosomal RNA", at positions 46 to 431 of the family's 1533-position model. Lineage: Bacteria; Bacillati; Actinomycetota; Actinomycetes; Micrococcales; Micrococcaceae. The record is from RNAcentral.
GCUUACCAUGCAAGUCGAACGAUGAUGCCCAGCUUGCUGGGCGGAUUAGUGGCGAACGGGUGAGUAAUACGUGAGUAACCUGCCCUUGACUCUGGGAUAAGCCUGGGAAACUGGGUCUAAUACUGGAUACUACUGUUCACCGCAUGGUGGGCGGUGGAAAGGGUUUUACUGCUUUUGGAUGGGCUCACGGCCUAUCAGCUUGUUGGUGGGGUAAUGGCUCACCAAGGCGACGACGGGUAGCCGGCCUGAGAGGGUGACCGGCCACACUGGGACUGAGACACGGCCCAUACUCCUACGGGAGGCAGCACUGGGGAAUAUUGCACAAUGGGCGGAAGCCUGAUGCACCGACGCCUGUGAGGGAUGACGGCCUUCGGGUUGUGAACC